UGCAAACAUCCAUAGGAAUGCACUGACACCCACCAUGACUAUGUAAACGAUUGUUUACAGGGGCGAAUCACGCCGAAUGCUCCGUAAAAAAUUGAUAGAGAUGGAAUUCACUGCACAAAUAGUUUACAAAAUGUUUAGAUUUAGGCUAUAAAAAUGGAUUUUAUCAAAGAAAACGGCACUUCAUUUGAUCAAUGGGAUACUCAGGAAGAGAAAUAAGAGCAAGAUAUCAGAAUGUUGGAACCAACAUGCAGUAUAUCCAGCAGAAAGAGAGGCAAGAACCAUUGGUCCGCCAGUUCAGGGACAAGCUAAACUAUUCACAGC
Oncorhynchus tshawytscha (Chinook salmon) is the source of this 321-nucleotide long non-coding RNA. Lineage: Eukaryota; Metazoa; Chordata; Actinopteri; Salmoniformes; Salmonidae. The record is from Ensembl.